CCUACGGGCGGCAGCAGUGGGGAAUAUUGCGCAAUGGGCGAAAGCCUGACGCAGCGACGCCGCGUGAGGGAUGAAGGUCUUCGGAGCGGAAACCUCUGUCAGCAGGGAAGAACGGUCACGGGGCUAAGCAGCAGUGAAUGGACGGUACCGGCAAAGGAAGCACCGGCUAACGCCGUGCCAGCAGCCGCGGUAAUACGGAGGGUGCGAGCGUUAAUCGGAAUUACUGGGCGGAAAGCGCUCGGAGGCGGUAGGUCAAGUCAAGGGUGAAAUCCCCGCUCUCAACGUGGGAACUGCCUUUGAAACUGGCAACCUGGAGUGUGUGAGAGGCUAGUGGCCUUCCAGGUGUCGGCGU
This 352-nucleotide ribosomal RNA is filed under the name uncultured bacterium. Its description in RNAcentral is "partial 16S ribosomal RNA". It matches the Rfam family "Bacterial small subunit ribosomal RNA", at positions 338 to 682 of the family's 1533-position model. The record is from RNAcentral.